This 554-nucleotide ribosomal RNA is filed under the name uncultured bacterium. RNAcentral's name for it is "bacterial SSU rRNA". It matches the Rfam family "Bacterial small subunit ribosomal RNA", at positions 359 to 917 of the family's 1533-position model. The record is from RNAcentral.
GAAUUGGAAAUGGGCGAGAGCCUGAUCCAGCCAUGCCGCGUGCAGGAAGAAGGCCUUCUGGGUUGUAAACUGCUUUUGCCAGGGGAUAAAAAGUCCCUGCGGGGAAAAUUGAAGGUACCUGGUGAAUAAGCCACGGCUAACUACGUGCCAGCAGCCGCGGUAAUACGUAGGUGGCAAGCGUUGUCCGGAUUUAUUGGGUUUAAAGGGUGCGUAGGCGGUCUUAUAAGUCAGUGGUGAGAUACGGCAGCUCAACUGUCGAGGUGCCAUUGAUACUGUAGGACUUGAGUACAGACGAGGUAGGCGGAAUUGACGGUGUAGCGGUGAAAUGCUUAGACAUCGUCAAGAACACCGAUAGCGAAGGCAGCUUACUAGGCUGUAACUGACGCUGAGGCACGAAAGUGUGGGGAUCAAACAGGAUUAGAUACCCUGGUAGUCCACACUGUAAACGAUGAUUACUCGAUGUUGGCGAUACACAGCCAGCGUCUUAGCGAAAGCGAUAAGUAAUCCACCUGGGGAGUACGCCGGCAACGGUGAAACUCAAAAAAAUUGACGGA